AACGAACGCUGGCGGCAUGCCUAACACAUGCAAGUCGAACGAGACCUUCGGGUCUAGUGGCGCACGGGUGCGUAACGCGUGGGAACCUGCCUUUAGGUUCGGAAUAACUCAGAGAAAUUUGAGCUAAUACCGGAUGAUGUCUUCGGACCAAAGAUUUAUCGCCUUUAGAUGGGCCCGCGUUGGAUUAGCUAGUUGGUGGGGUAAAGGCCUACCAAGGCGACGAUCCAUAGCUGGUCCGAGAGGAUGAUCAGCCACACUGGGACUGAGACACGGCCCAGACUCCUACGGGAGGCAGCAGUGGGGAAUAUUGGACAAUGGGCGAAAGCCUGAUCCAGCAAUGCCGCGUGAGUGAUGAAGGCCUUAGGGUUGUAAAGCUCUUUUACCCGAGAUGAUAAUGACAGUAGCGGGAGAAUAAGCUCCGGCUAACUCCGUG
This 433-nucleotide ribosomal RNA is filed under the name uncultured bacterium. RNAcentral's name for it is "partial 16S ribosomal RNA". It matches the Rfam family "Bacterial small subunit ribosomal RNA", at positions 29 to 507 of the family's 1533-position model. The record is from RNAcentral.